UCUUAGAUGACUGAGUGAGAAGUGCUAGACUUUUAAUCUAGAGACGGCAUAAAAUAAAAUUGCCUCUAAGAA
This 72-nucleotide transfer RNA is filed under the name Bufonaria rana. RNAcentral describes it as "tRNA-Lys". It matches the Rfam family "tRNA". Rfam says of the family: Transfer RNA (tRNA) molecules are approximately 80 nucleotides in length. Their secondary structure includes four short double-helical elements and three loops (D, anti-codon, and T loops). Further hydrogen bonds mediate the characteristic L-shaped molecular structure. tRNAs have two regions of fundamental functional importance: the anti-codon, which is responsible for specific mRNA codon recognition, and the 3' end, to which the tRNAs corresponding amino acid is attached (by aminoacyl-tRNA synthetases). tRNAs cope with the degeneracy of the genetic code in two manners: having more than one tRNA (with a specific anti-codon) for a particular amino acid; and 'wobble' base-pairing, i.e. permitting non-standard base-pairing at the 3rd anti-codon position. Lineage: Eukaryota; Metazoa; Mollusca; Gastropoda; Littorinimorpha; Bursidae. The record is from RNAcentral.